GAUGAACGCUGGCGGCGUGCCUAAUACAUGCAAGUCGAACGAAACUUCUUUAUCACCGAGUGCUUGCACUCACCGAUAAAGAGUUGAGUGGCGAACGGGUGAGUAACACGUGGGCAACCUGCCCAAAAGAGGGGGAUAACACUUGGAAACAGGUGCUAAUACCGCAUAACCAUAGUUACCGCAUGGUAACUAUGUAAAAGGUGGCUAUACUACCGCUUUUGGAUGGGCCCGCGGCGCAUUAGCUAGUUGGUAGGGUAAAGGCUUACCAAGGCAAUGAUGCGUAGCCGAAUUGAGAGGUUGAUCGGCCACAUUGGGACUGAGACCCGGCCCAAACUCCUACGGGAGGCAGCAGUAGGGAAUCUUCCACAAUGGGCGAAAGCCUGAUGGAGCAACGCCGCGUGGGUGAAGAAGGUCUUCGGAUCGUAAAACCCUGUUGUUAGAGAAGAAAGUGCGUGAGAGUAACUGUUCACGUUUCGACGGUAUCUAACCAGAAAGCCACGGCUAACUACGUG
This 512-nucleotide ribosomal RNA is filed under the name uncultured bacterium. RNAcentral's name for it is "partial 16S ribosomal RNA". It matches the Rfam family "Bacterial small subunit ribosomal RNA", at positions 28 to 507 of the family's 1533-position model. The record is from RNAcentral.